RNAcentral lists this ribosomal RNA (466 nucleotides) under uncultured bacterium. RNAcentral describes it as "partial 16S ribosomal RNA". It matches the Rfam family "Bacterial small subunit ribosomal RNA", at positions 28 to 507 of the family's 1533-position model. The record is from RNAcentral.
GAUGAACGCUGGCGGCGUGCUUAACACAUGCAAGUCGAACGAUGAAGCCCAGCUUGCUGGGUGGAUUAGUGGCGAACGGGUGAGUAACACGUGAGUAACCUGCCCUUAACUCUGGGAUAAGCCUGGGAAACUGGGUCUAAUACCGGAUAGGAGCGUCCACCGCAUGGUGGGUGUUGGAAAGAUUUAUCGGUUUUGGAUGGACGCGCGGCCUAUCAGCUUGUUGGUGAGGUAAUGGCUCACCAAGGCGACGACGGGUAGCCGGCCUGAGAGGGUGACCGGCCACACGGGGACUGAGACACGGCCCAGACUCCUACGGGAGGCAGCAGGGGGGAGUAUUGCACAAUGGGCGCAAGCCUGAUGCAGCGGCGCCGCGGGAGGGAUGACGGCCUGCGGGUUGUAAACCUCUUUCAGUAGGGAAGAAGCGAAAGUGACGGUACCUGCAGAAGAAGCACCGGCUAACUACGUG